AUGAAUUGUAUGAGCUGGAACUGUCGAGGGCUUGGGAACCCAUCGACAGUUCGAGAGCUUCGCAAGAUUGUGAAGCAAGAAGGGCCCUCCCUCCUCUUUGUCAUGGAAACAAAGAUUAGGGGACACCGUGUGGAGACCCUGAAAUCUGUUCUAGGUUUCAAAGCUUGUUUCGCGGUGGAUAGCGAUGGUUUAAGUGGUGGCAUUGGCUUGUUCUGGACUGAUGAUAUACAAGUGGAAUUGAAGAACUAUAGCCGGGUGCACAUCGAUGUACUCGUAAGGGGGCAUGACAGUGGGGUGCCUCCUUGGCGGUUUACUGGUUUCUACGGAGCACCUCGAGUGGAGAAUAGGCAUCACAGUUGGGAACUCCUACAGAGACUGUAUGGUAUUAGGCAUGAUGGCUGGAUUUGCAUGGGUGAUUUUAAUGAGACUAUGUACGGCGGGGAACACUUUAUUGUGCACGCCCGACCAUAG
Molecule: ribosomal RNA, 471 nt
Filed under: Triticum aestivum (bread wheat)
Lineage: Eukaryota; Viridiplantae; Streptophyta; Magnoliopsida; Poales; Poaceae
Description: partial small subunit ribosomal RNA
Source: RNAcentral